GCUGUGGUUUGGGGAACUGAGUGGGAGGUGACAGUCGUGUCAGAGGCUGUGAGCAGCCGCGCUGCUCACCACCGAGUUGGAGCUAAUUAUACCGGCACCCAGGGCUGACCGUGGGCGCUGAGCAGAGGCAGAAGGGUACAACUCAGCUGUGCUGUUGGAAGGGAUCCGUGGGAGGUGGCAUUCGUCACUGCACCUGCGGAUCGGAACAAGGCCAGGCACCGCGCCAAGGACUCACUCCUGCUGUCUCUCUUCAUGCUUACAGCAGCCCUGUGGUGGAGGGAGCAUCGUGAUCCCUUCGCUGCAGAUGAGGAAACUGAGGCGCAGAGAAGGUCCGAGAUCUUACAGCUGGUGAGGGGCAGAGCAAGAUGCCAACCUAUGCCUGUUGGAUUCCAAAGUUUAUACUUUAAUCGUUCGUCUAGCAGAUUCUUACAACAAUCCUGGGAGAAUAUUGUUUUAGCCUGGAUUCUCCAGAAAACAGAGCCUUUGGCAAGUUUGUAUGCUAACACCUCGCUGGGGAGUGCAACCUUGGAGAAACCAGAUUGAGAGAAAAAUGAGGCAAGAAGAAGUGCAAAGAUAAGAGGCAUUACUGAGAGGACCCAAGUUUUGUAAUUAAUGAAGCUAACUGCUUGGACUCACAGUACAUCCUCAGAUCUUCAGAGAAGUUGUACGAACUACCCUGUCUUGGAACAUCCUCAGGAGGAGAAAGUAAGCUUGGUUAAAAGAACUCCAGAUGGCCCGGGGGCUGCAGGACUCCUUGCCAAUUAUCAGAGGAAGAUAAGGCCUGUGUGAAACCGGGGCAAACCUGAACCAGCGACCCCGUGUUACCUUUAGAUCAUUAACAUAUCAUCAUAAUGCUAAAACCUCACCCAUAGAAGAUAAUUGCUGCCAUUUUCUGAAUAUACAUUAUGUGAAGAAGCAUGUUCAUGAUCUGCACCUGCACGUCUGGAGUUCCUCCCCACAUGUGUUUACCUACCUCCCUGCCCCACAUCUAACGCCUUAAAAUCCCCCAGCUUCUCAUAUCUCAGGGAGAAGGAAUCUUUAGAGAAAGAGCUCCCUCCUCCGUUCCUGGCCAGGAAUAAAACCUGCUUGCCCUUUUUCCCAUUAGGUGUUACAGUAGAACUCAGUUAGCCUGUAACAAUAAGAAUUGCAUUAAAUCCUUAUAUCAACUUGGGAAGAAUUGACAGAUUUACCAUAUUAAGUCUUCUAAUCCAUAAGUAAGUAUGGUCAUUCUUUUUUUAGAUUUUUGAAAUUUCUUUCAUCAGCAAUUUUGUAGUUCUUUCCCUCACUAUCUAGAUCCCAAAUAUUUUCUAUUUUUUUUUCUGAAAGUUCUAUCUCUUACAAUUUAAACCUGAGUAGUUACCAGCAUGCAAGCCCUGUACCUGUUUUGUUGGAUUUAAAUUUAAGUAUUUUGUUUUUUGAUACAUUGUAAAUGCUACUGUAUUUUAAAUUUCAGUGCCCAUGUGUUCAUUGCUAGUAUAAAGAAAUACAACAUAUUCCAGCAGUCUAGCUGAAGUCACUUAUCAGCUCUAGGAGUUUUUGUUUUUGAUUCUAUUUUUGGUAGAUCUUUGAGUUUUCCCACUUAGAUAAGCAUGUUAUCUGCAAAUAGGGACAGUUUUAUUACUACCUUUCUGAUCUAUAUGCCUUUUAUUUCCUUUUCUUACCUUAUUGCAUUGGGUAGAACUUCUAACACUGUUUAACAAUAAUGGUAAGAGCAAUCAUCCUUGCCCUGUUCCUGUUCUCAGGGUACAUUCAUUCAUUCUUUCACUGUUAAGUAUGAUGCUGGCUGUGGAGUUGUUAUAGAUGCUCUUUAACAAGUUAGGACAAAUUCCCUCUAUUUCUAUUUUUCUGAGCAUUUUUAAACCCAUGAAUGGGUGUUUUGUCAAAUGCUUUUUCUGUAUUGAUUGGUAAGAUCAAUUUUCUUUUGUAUCAAUUUUCUUUUGUUAAUAUGUUGGAUUAUGUUGACUGAUUUGUGAAUAGUAAAACAGCCCUGCAUUCCUGCAGUAAGCCUCACUUUGUUACAAGAUCUUUGGGGUGUUGCUUUUCUGGCCAGAAACCUCUGUGGCCAGUGGCCCCUUUGCCCAAGUUUUGUUUGGGCCCACUGGGCUCCUUCUGCCCACUUGGCCUGGCAGGCUGUGCUCAGCUCAUGCUACCAGCCUGGAUCCCACGUCUGCCAAAGGCAAGUCAGGCAUGGCGUGGCAAGGGGUGUGUGAGCAAGCGUGGAGUCUGGUCACUGUGCAGUCAGACAUGUCAGCUGCUGCAGUGGGGUGGGCAGCUCCAGGUGCUGGCAUAGGCACUAGCUCUCUGUGAGGCUGUGGCUGGGCCAGGCACACUGCACGCAGCUUCCACAGCUGGAACCGGGGAACACAGUGGUGCCUGGAAGCUUGGAGAUGCCAGGAACCACGGGGCUCCCAAAAAGGAGUCAUAGACCGGGCUUGGGGAGCUCCAAGGUCUGGGAUCCCCUAAGGGCCACAGCUGUUCUUUCUUUCUCUUCACCCUCAAUGUAGCGAGCAAGGGACAUAUUUCAACCCUGUUUGUGUUACAGCCCUUUUAGCCCUGCCAUUCAAUGGGUCCCAAGUUCUUGUCCUAUAACCAGGAAGAAGGAGGUACGCAGACAAGUGGAGGCUCUGAGCAAGAUGAAAAGGAGCUUUAUUGAGUGAUAGGACAGUUCAGAGGAAACCUGCAGUGGGUAGCUCCUUUCCACAGCCAGGGUGUCCUGAUGAGUGUUCAGCUCCUAGCAAAGAGGAGACCCUGGAGUGGGAAGCUCCUCUUUGCUUGCAGGUGGUCCCAUUGUCUCUGCAGCUCUCAGCAGAGAGUAGGCUCUGGAGUGGGUAGCUCCUCUCUGCUGUUGGUCAUCCCAGUGUCUGCUCAGCUCUGGUUGAGCCCAGGGGUAUUAUGGGCUUCAGAGGGGGGAAAGUGUAUGCCAGCUGGUCCAUGGGUAGCCAUGGGCAGGCCCAGAAAAGGCACCACAAGCUCCCACUCUGGUCUGUGGGGCUGGUAGCCCGACCCCAGCCUUCAGGCCCUCCUUGGCCUGAAGGUGGGGCCUCACUGGGGAUCUGCCCCCUUCUGCCCCAGAGCCUAUCGCCCUCCUGCCACUGUCCAUGGCACCCAGGCUGCUCACAGCAAGGGGCACCUGCAGGCCAGCACAAGCCACCCUCAACUUGGUCAUUGUGUAUACUUUUUUUUUACAUUGUUGAAUUCUACUUGCUAAUUUAAAAAAAAGUUGCAUCUAUAUUCAUGAUGUUAGUCUUUUGUUUUCUGUACUAUCUAUCUUUUUUUUGGUUUGAGUAUCAGAUUUAGUACUAGCUUCAUAAAAUAAAUGGGAAAGUCUACCCUCAUCUUCAAUUUUCUGGAAGAGAUUUUGUAGAAUUAGUGUUAAUUCUUUUUUAAACUUUUGGCAGAAUUCUCCAUGAACUCUCUUGGUCUAGGAGAUGUUUUUAAAUUUUAGUUUUAAAAUUACAAAUUCAGUUUUAAAAUUCCAUUUCAUAUUGGGUGAGUUAUAGUUUUUGAGGAAUUGGCUUGUUUAAUCUGUCAAAUGUGUGUACGUAGAGUUGUUUGUAGUAUUCCCUCCUAUCCUUCUGAUGUAUACAGAGUCUGUAGUGAUAUCCCAUUUCAUCCUUGAUGUUUCAUUCCAUUUCACCCGCUUUCUUUUCUCUCCUCGUUACUGGUUGUGGGAAUGGGAAUUCCAUCUUCUCCGUAGGCCUCUACUAAGACCUCCAUGACUUGGGGGACAAUUGGGUGGGAUGGCUUAUGACUGCUCCCCAAGGGGCCUCCACUGACACCACAGUGGUGGUGGCCUCAUUACCACUAGUUGGUGGUGAAAGUCCUGACCCUCCUCUGGGUUUUCUGGGACACUGCCCCAGCAGAGCAGAGAGGGGCACCUCGUAACUGCUGGAUGGGAGUGGAAGUCCAGGCUCCCUGACUGUCUUCACUGAUAUUGCAGGGAGCCCAUGGGGAGAGUUGAGGUGCCUCUUUACAGACUGGUGUGGGUGGAAUUCUAGGAUCUCCACUCUGCCUUUGCUUGUGUGAGUGUGGGUGGGCCACAGUCUUUUCUGUGGUGUUUGGCUGGAGUAGAAAGGUUAUUGUCUCAAGGGUUUCUAUCUUGUAAGGCUGCCCCUUUUCUGCUUUCUGUUUUGUUUUUGCUUUGUCUAGAGGGAGUAGGUUUUUGUUGGGACUUUUCCCCCCAUCUCAAACACUAGAGUUUCCAGGUCGUGAACUUCUUCAAGUCUGGGAUAUAUGAGACAAAAUGAAAGCCAGGAGAACGCACUAUGAUGGUCCCAAGUCUCCUAGCUGGGCUGCCUUCUUUUCCCCACUUUUCAGAAUAUUCUUAUACUUGCUUUAUAUACAAACUAAAUCUACUGAAAAAAUACAAUAACCAAAAUAAAUGGAUGGGCUCAAUAGCCAAAUAGAGGAGAGAGAGGGGAAAAAAAUCACUGAAUUGGGAACUAUAACUAGAGAAACCACCCAGACUGAAAAACAGAGAGAAAAUAAAUGGAAAACAAUGAACGGAGCUUCAGGGACCUGUGAGACUAUCACAAGACCCAGUGUUUGUGUCACUGAAGUUGCAGAAGAAGAAAAGAAAGAAGACAAGGCUGAAAAGGUAUUCAAAGAAAUAAUGGCUGAAAGUUUCCCAAAUGUCCAGAGUGUUUAGUUGUCCUUACUGGGAGGAAUAGGGAGAAGUGUGUCUACUCCAUCUUCCUGAAAGCUGAAGAACCAAGCACUCCCGGAUGGGGAAGCUGGGAAGAAUACUGAUAAGCUAUGCACAGAAGCAGUCCUGGGAGGACCCUGCCACAGGCAGAAACACACUGGACACUCAAAGCCAUACUGCUGGGUGCUGGAGUCCAUUGCUUCUUCUGAGAAGAAUCGCUAACUUUUCUGGGGUCUUCGUACCUUUAGCACCUGAUUCAAAUUCUUGGGAAGGCUAACCUGAGUGGCCAGUCGCAGGGAGCGGGCCCAGGCCCUGCCUGUCAGCAGGUGUGGAAAGAAAAUGUACAGCAUCCUGCAGCAUCCCUGGUGGAAGCUGGAGCCUGUUUUCCAUCAAGCCACACACACUGGGGGAUUCCUCAAUUUGUCCAAUUAGGAGGUCAGUGCAUGAGGUUGCUGUAAUCCCACAUCCCCGCAACACUCAGUUUUACUGAACUUCCUAAUAUUUGCCAAUCUAAUAGGUGUAAAAUUGUAUCUCAUUGUUGCAUCAAUUUGCAUUUCCUGGAUUAUUAACAUUUGUGAGCACCUCUCAUAUGAGUGUUAGUUUUUGAGAGUUGUCAUUCUGCAAAUUGCCUGUUUAUAUCCUCUGGUGCUUCACCCAGGUAUAUUUAUGUUUACUACGCUUUUGAAUGGGAGCUUAUUUCCCUGAGUGUUACAGACAUUUGAGACAGUUACAUUAUAAAAAUAUAUUACUGAGUGAAGAGAUAAUCAUAAGAUGUAGUUCUUUAAUAAUUCCAGAUUUGAAAAACAACCACAUUAAAUGUUAUUAUUUCCGGGAAGUGA
Macaca mulatta (Rhesus monkey) is the source of this 5484-nucleotide non-coding RNA. The record is from RefSeq and is a predicted model, not a curated record. Lineage: Eukaryota; Metazoa; Chordata; Mammalia; Primates; Cercopithecidae.